AAGUUGAUUCUGCGCUGCUAUACAUGCAGUCGAGCGGACAGAUGGGAGCUUGCUCCUAGAUAGUAGCGGCGGACGGGUGAGUAACACGUGGGUAACCUGCCUGUAAGACUGGGAUAACUCCGGGAAACCGGGGCUAAUACCGGAUGGUUGUUUGAACCGCAUGGUUCAGACAUAAAAGGUGGCUUCGGCUACCACUUACAGAUGGACCCGCGGCGCAUUAGCUAGUUGGUGAGGUAACGGCUCACCAAGGCGACGAUGCGUAGCCGACCUGAGAGGGUGAUCGGCCACACUGGGACUGAGACACGGCCCAGACUCCUACGGGAGGCAGCAGUAGGGAAUCUUCCGCAAUGGACGAAAGUCUGACGGAGCAACGCCGCGUGAGUGAUGAAGGUUUUCGGAUCGUAAAGCUCUGUUGUUAGGGAAGAACAAGUGCCGUUCAAAUAGGGCGGCACCUUGACGGUACCUAACCAGAAAGCCACGGCUAACUACGUGCCAGCAGCCGCGGUAAUACUAGUGGCAAGCGUUGUCCGGAAUUAUUGGGCGUAAGGGCUCGCGGCGGUUUCUUAAGUCUGAUGUGAAAGCCCCCGGCUCAACCGGGGAGGGUCAUUGGAAACUGGGGAACUUGAGUGCAGAAGAGGAGAGUGGAAUUCCACGUGUAGCGGUGAAAUGCGUAGAGAUGUGGAGGAACACCAGUGGCGAAGGCGACUCUCUGGUCUGUAACUGACGCUCAGGAGCGAAAGCGUGGGGGAGCGGACAGGAUUAGAUCCCCUGGUAGUCCACGCGUAAACGAUGAGUGCUAAGUGUUAGGGGGUUUC
This 815-nucleotide ribosomal RNA is filed under the name Bacillus velezensis. RNAcentral describes it as "bacterial SSU rRNA". It matches the Rfam family "Bacterial small subunit ribosomal RNA", at positions 33 to 834 of the family's 1533-position model. Lineage: Bacteria; Bacillati; Bacillota; Bacilli; Caryophanales; Bacillaceae. The record is from RNAcentral.